UUGGAGGGCAAGUCUGGUGCCAGCAGCCGCGGUAAUUCCUGCUCCAAUAGCGUAUAUUAAAGUUGCUGCAGUUAAAAAGCUCGUAGUUGAAUUUCGGGACCAUCAUGUCGGUCGUGCCUCGGUACGUACUGGUAUUGUUGGUUUCUCCCUUCUGACGAACCAUGAUGUCAUUUAUUUGGUGUUGUGGGGAAUCAGGACUGUUACUUUGAAAAAAUUAGAGUGUUUAAAGCAGGCUCACGCUUGAAUACAUUAGCAUGGAAUAAUGAAAUAGGACGUUUGAUUCUAUUUUGUUGGUUUCUAGGAUCGACGUAAUGAUUAAUAGGGAUAGUUGGGGGCAUUAGUAUUCAAUUGUCAGAGGUGAAAUUCUCGGAUUUAUUGAAGACUAACUACUGCGAAAGCAUUUGCCAAGGAUGUUUUCAUUAAUCAAGAACGAAAGUUAGGGGAUCGAAGACGAUCAGAUACCGUCGUAGUCUUAACCAUAAACUAUGCCGACUAGGGAUCGGAUGAUGUUAAUUUUUUAAUGACUCAUUCGGCGCCUUACGGGAAACCAAAGUGUUUGGGUUC
Molecule: ribosomal RNA, 564 nt
Filed under: uncultured Glomeromycotina
Lineage: Eukaryota; Fungi; Glomeromycota
Description: SSU rRNA
Rfam family: Eukaryotic small subunit ribosomal RNA
Source: RNAcentral